CAGUAUGUUCAGUUGAUUAAUCUGUAUAUAUUUUUGGUUAUAUGCUCCUUUGCGACUGUGGGUGAGUGGGGAGCAGGUCGUCCUCCAAUCAGAGGGUUGUCGGUUCCAUCCCAGGCCCUGCUAACCCGCAUGUCGUUGUGUCCUUGGGCAAGGCACUGAACCCAACAUGGCUCCUGUAGCUGUGACUACAGUAGGUGGAUGUUAGUUACUGAUGGCAGGUGUCACUGUGUGUGGUUCUCCUUGUGUGAAUGGGUGUGAAUGGGUGAAUGAUGUCAUCAGUGUGUGAAUGGGUGUGAAUGAUGUCAUGUAGUGUUAAAGCGCUUUGAGUGGUCAGACUAUAAAAGCGCUUUACAAGUACAGUCCAUUUACCAUUUACUUUGUAUUUUGUGUGCAGUUAAGUUUCUGUUGUAUUAAGUUCAGUUCAUAUUAAGUUCUGCAGAAUGGUGAUUUCGAAUGAGGCACGUGAACCAGUUUCUGUCGUCCACUGUAAUUAACAGCUCACCUCACAUUAGAAGAAGACACCUCACAGGGGUUACACAUGUGCAGCUUCAUCAUCUGCUCUGUGACAUUUCUUCAGGUGCUGUUUGUCUCAGGAUUGCAUGUACCCAAGGCCAGGUGAGGGAGUGAGGGGGCCCCUCUUGUCCACAUGGAUGACAUAGGCCCUCCAUGCCUGUAGACAUACGGGGGCCAAGUGCAGCACAUAAGCUGGGACAGGAUGGACAUACUGUUCAAUAUUUGAGAGAAUGGUGCCAAAAUAAAAAUAUAGUAUUUUUAAUGAGGUUGUGUGUUAUGUUAUUUACAAAAAACAUACAUUUGCUAUUUCCCAUGCCAUAAUGACUCUUUUUAGCAUAGCCUGGCAUCGAACCGACAACCCUCUGAUUGGAGGACCCACGCCGGUGUCGAGGGAAUGGCCUUGAUGGUCAAACAUCCUGUGGAAUAACGGAGAACAGUUUCCACAGUUUCUAAAAGUCUGUAAUUGUAUUUUAAGAUUUUUGUAAAACAGCCUUGCUUACUGGUCAAAAGCAUGUUUGUUGCAUUAGGAGGGGUGGGCGUGUAUAGAGCGCAGUACGGGAUGGAGAAGUCUCUGUCAAUGAUAUAGAUUAAACAGCACUGUGAAGGAAACGAGAGCAGGAGCUGAUUGGACUGAGCGGCCCGGCCAUGAAAGGGGAAAGGAAGACUAAUGGCACGUGAUUGGCCGGGGAGCUGGGACAUAAAUGAGAGGCUGGUGGCCGGGACAAUGAGUAAUGACAACUCCUUCCCACAAUGAGGACAUCCACCUAUUGAGGAGCAUUGGCCUUUUGGACUGGAAGGCAGGCUCAUCUACCACACUUCCAUUGAGUAGCUCACACACAGACACACAAGGGGAGGCCGUAUGCGUGCACGUGAGACGCUCAACAUUUUGCUAAUGGCAUUUAAUAUGACCUAAAGUUAUCGUUUAAAUCAGAUUAACUCUUUUUUUUCUAUCACUGAGUGAUUUUUUAUAGUCACUGUGAGCAAUCAUAUGUCCAUAAAGUCACAUCCUUGAUUAGUCAUAAUUGUUUCUCUAGUUAACAAUGGCCAAUGCCAAAGAAGUGCAGCUAUCAAAAUGUAGAUCUAUGAGAUUAAUGCAGUCAAAUAUUUGAAGGCAGCGGUGUGCUGCAUGAAUACACAAGUACUCCGUGAAGGAAACUCUACUGUUGACAGUAACGGCAUUGGGACUAGAAGCAGUAGGUAUCAGCAGCACCAGGACCAGGUAGAACCUUGAUACAUGGAAACCUGCGAGGCCUGGUAAGCCAGCGCGCACUCAUUUUGUGCUUAACGUUACACAACGCGAUCCGUCACCUCAACCAGAGGACACUCUGAGCUUUCACUGUCCGUUUACUGAGAGCGUCCUCUCCUUUAUCCGCCGUACCAACCUAUUUCCUCAUAGAGAGCCGCCUGGAUGGGACAACCUUGUAAUUCUCUCUGAUUAAUUCUGCACGUUGGCCUGAUGGCAGCCAUGGGUGCUCUGUAAUUGCAAUGUUAUUUUCAUGCUGCUUUAAGUGGGACCUUAUUAUAGGAAAUAGAGUGGCGGGUGCAGCUGUUCAGUGAGUGAAGGAUCUCCUCCUAUGUUUGCGGUUUGCGUAGGUCAGUCAGGGCUGAGAGGAAUUGAGGUAUAUCUGCUCUCCUAUUGUCAACGGCAACGAUAUCUCGUGGACACAACACCGCUGUAGUAAAUAUUGAAUGUUCGACGAGUACUCCACGUAAUGCCUUUUGAAUAACUUCAGUCACAAUGGUAAUGCAAUGAUCCUCAAUGUGUAAUGUAGACAUCAGUUGGCAGUGUGAAAAGUUAUGGCUUUUGUUGUGAUAUUUUGAAUUAAUUUUGUCAAAUAGAGGUGUACUUAUAGAGCAGACUUUUUAUAUUUUAUUGGGUCCUGUCCACAAAGAGCUUCAUGAAGAAAAAUUGACAAAAUAGUCAAAGUGAAGCAAGUGGAGUGCAGUGGAAACUUCUUUUUCACUUCAUUAUAUCAGUAAGCAAAUAAUUAUGUUUUUUUGGAGUAGACCCUGAAUAUUCAAUGUAACCACAUAUCUCUUUCAGACAAAUUUAUAAGUUUCCCUCUGAAGUUGAAUUGCACAGUUAGAUCUAAAUAGGUGAGUUGCAUAUUUUGAAGUGCUUUAUUUAAGCAGUAAGGUAAGAGGCUUAUUUUAUAAUGUAACAGCUCAAGGCCAUUGUUAGACCCGGCGCGCAGCGGAGGGCCGCCAACUGUUACAUUAUUGACAAAAUACUUUUAACAUACGGUUACUAGCAACAUUAUAAAUAGUAAGUACAUAGCUGCUUUUCAGCACAAAAUAGUUGUAGCCACCAAACGUCUUUCAGUAGCCAGAGAACAAUAGUACGUGCAGGUAAACAGCAUUGGGUGUCUCAUUCAUUCACAUCGCUCAGGACGUCCACCUGAAUUGUCCGGGUUGUGUGUGCCGCAUUGCCCCAAACCCACCAUGUGUGGUGUUUCACGCCAAGUCUAACCCGUUACUGUGAGUGAACAGUCAAUGAACAGCAACUGAACAAUGCGACUCACUCUCAACCAAUCAGAAUGCUGGAUUUCAUCUACCGUCUUUAGUACAAUGAUUUAGAAUAGUUACAUAAUUCAUUGAGUGCAGAGCCAAACUCCUUUGGUAUCUCACGUGUUUAUUACACUUCUCUAUUAUUCUCCUUCCGUACAAAAGUUUGGCGCGCUUCUCCUGCAGCGCUGCUCGCACAGGUCUCAAAACGCGGAGGUUACGGCUGGGGGGGUGGGGGGGGGCACGGCAGACAAGUGCCUAAAACAGCCAGAGAACAUCUGUCAUGUCUUUGGCUAGCCAGCCAGUUGUUUAUCUAGCUAGCCAGUUGUAUAAGCCACAGGGUUCAAAGUGUGGGGUAAAGGUAGCUAGCUAGCCAGUUGUUUAGCUAGCUAGCCUGUUGUAUAAGCCGCAGGGUUCAAAGCAUGGGGAAAAGGUAGCUAGCUAGCCAGUUGUUUAGCUAGCUAGCCUGUUGUUUAGCUAGCUAGCCAGUUGUAUAAGCCACAGGGUUCAAAGCGUGGGGAAAAGGUAGCUAGCUAGCCAGUUGUUUAGCUAGCUAGCCU
Gasterosteus aculeatus aculeatus (three-spined stickleback) is the source of this 3578-nucleotide long non-coding RNA. The record is from Ensembl. Lineage: Eukaryota; Metazoa; Chordata; Actinopteri; Perciformes; Gasterosteidae.